RNAcentral lists this ribosomal RNA (263 nucleotides) under uncultured bacterium. RNAcentral describes it as "partial 16S ribosomal RNA". The record is from RNAcentral.
CUGCUGCCUCCCGUAGGAGUUUGGGCCGUGUCUCAGUCCCAAUGUGGCCGUCCACCCUCUCAGGCCGGCUACUGAUCGUCGCCUUGGUGGGCCCCUACCCCGCCAACAAGCUAAUCAGACGCGGGUCCAUCUUACACCACCGGAGUUUUUCACACCGGGCCAUGCGGCCCUGUGCGCUUAUGCGGUAUUAGCACCUGUUUCCAGGUGUUAUCCCCCUGUGUAAGGCAGGUUACCCACGCGUUACUCACCCGUCGCCACUCGAA